This 1259-nucleotide long non-coding RNA is filed under the name Pan paniscus (pygmy chimpanzee). RNAcentral describes it as "lncRNA (ENSPPAG00000044329.1)". The record is from RNAcentral. Lineage: Eukaryota; Metazoa; Chordata; Mammalia; Primates; Hominidae.
UGUGCCGCAGGGGAGGAGACACAUGGACUUGUGCUGGGCUCACAGCUUCCUAAGCAAAAACAGCAAAGACCACUCCCAGCCUCCUCCAACCACAGGGCGGCUGUGCUGGUGGGAAAGGUGGUGUGUGUGUCUAUGUGUGUGCAUGUGGGGUACAUGCUUGUGGCGUGCACUCAUGUGGCAUGCACUCGUGGCAUGUGUGAUACGGUGUGUGUAGUGUGUGGUGUCUGUGGUCUGUGUAUGGUUUGUGUGUGUGUGUGAUGUGCUGUGGUAUGUAUGGUGUAUGUGUGUAUGUUUGUGUGUGAUUUGCUAUGGUGUGGUGUGUAUCAUUUGUGUGUGUGGUUUGCUCCUUUGUGGUGUGUAUGCUUUGUGUUUGUGCGUGUGGUGUGCUCUGCUGUAGUGUGUAUGGUUUGUGUNNNNNNNNNNNNNNNNNNNNGUGGUGUGUAUGGUUUGUGUGUGUGCUGUGCUGUGGUGUGUAUAGUUUGUGUUGUGUGUGUGCUGUGCUAUGGUGUGUAUGGUUUGUGUGUGUGUGUUCUGUGCUAUGGUGUGUAUGGUUUGUGUGUGUCUGUGUGCUGUGCUGUGGUGUGUAUGAUUUGUGUGUGUGUGUGCUGUGCUGUGGUGUGUAUGGUUUGUGUGUGUGCUGUGCUGUGGUGUGUAUGAUGUGUGUGUGUGUAUGUAUAUGUGGCAUGCUGUGGUGUGUGUGUGUCCCAAGCUGCACAGGGUUGUCACACAGCCCGAGUGCCCUGGUCCCUGCGUUCUUUGUAAUCACAGCCAUGGCAUCUGAGUGUGGCUGGGAGGGAGGCCACCUGCCUGCUUUCCGAGGAUCUCAGCUUUGGGGUGGUAUCAGGGGUGACAGAUGCCCCAGGCGUCUUCUCUCCAGGAGUCAGGGUGGGGUCUCCGAGAGAACAGCACUCAUUGUGAUGAGUGGUUCUGCUUUCUUCCCAGGCCGCCUGCUGUGGGCAGUGAGUGGAAUUUCCCAAGGCUGGCCGGCUUUAGUGUGGCUGUGCGGGAGGGCACAGCAGCAGCACCUGGGCCCACGGAGCUGCCGGAGCUGGGCCCCACUGCCCCCAGCCGCUUGCCCUGCCAGGGAAGGAAACGCCCAGGUUGCUCACAGGAGGGAGGUAGCACAGCCAGCACGUUGCUUCCGAAGGCCCCCAGGAAGAUCACAGGUGCAGCAGGAGCAAGGCCAGGCUGGUGAGAGUGCAGCGUCGCUACUGCCCUCUACAGAGCUCUGUGCAUGCUCAUCCCCCACCUUGACAUAG